AUGGACUCUGAUUCAGACUCUCCGUUUAACUACUCAUGGCCAUCCUUCCCAAAGAUGAGAAUCCGGAGACGGACAUCAAAAGCAGAGAAGCUGUGUUCCUCUCCUGACUCCUGCACUCCAUUUCACCUCAGUUCUUCAGACACUGCUGCUGUCAUGCUCAGAGACUCCGCUAAGGUCAGACGCCACACAUAUCGCUACUCCUACAAAUCAGCAUACUCAGUAUGCCAGAUCUACAGACACUCGGCUGUAACAUUUUCCAUCCAAAUCCCAUCUCCUCCCUUCACUCUACUGCCUUUGUCCUAUGAUUGAUCUCUUUGAAAGUCUUGGGGAAAUACUUUAUUUGAUCUUGGCACAUUGUAGCCUGAAUCUUAAGCCACAACUCUUCUACUGCCUUACAAGUCUUUAGUUUGACAUGAAUCAAGACACUGUAGUUUAUGAGACACCAGACUUAGUGUAAUGGAUAGUUCACCCAAAACAAAACAACAAAAAAAUUGUCAUCACUUAUUCACCCUCAUGUCCUUCCAAACCUAUAUGAUUCUGAAAAAUCUCUCAGUGUUUUUUGUGCAUACAAAUGUCAGCGGGGACCAGUAAUGUUUUGGACCGCAUUAACUUUCACUUUAUGGACAAAAAUGGUAGCAGAUUUUUCCAGAAGCAUGUAAUACAGGUUUUUUCAUUUAAAAUGUUUCAUGAGGGUGAGAAAAAAUAUUUCACUUUAAGUGAAAUAACCCUACUAUAUCGCUACAUUACUUUUGUCGUUUUCUUAGUACCUUAAAGGGUUAGUUUACCCUAAAAUUUUAAUUAGGCCAUAAAUUACUCACCCUCACCCAUCCUAUGUGUGUAUGAAUUUCUUCUUUCAGAUGAAUCCAGUCAGAGUUACAUUAAAGAUUGUGUUUGAUCUUUCAAGAUGUUUCAUGGCACUCAUGCAUCAGUCCAAAAGAGGUUAAAUAAAAAGUGCCCAUCAAUAAAAAAGAAAAGAAAAUGGCCUCCUGUAGCGAAUCGAUGCGUUUUUGUAAGAAAAAUAUCCAUAUUCCAAAUGUAAUAAUCACUUUAAUAUAGCUUGCGCUCACUGUUGUACACGGAAGCAGUUCCAGGUGGAUGACUUAUGAGUUUGGCUACUGUUUUCAUUUUUGGGUGAACUAACCCUUUAAAUAUUUGUUUGUUUUCACUUCUGG
Molecule: long non-coding RNA, 1172 nt
Filed under: Carassius auratus (goldfish)
Lineage: Eukaryota; Metazoa; Chordata; Actinopteri; Cypriniformes; Cyprinidae
Description: lncRNA (ENSCARG00000003004.1)
Source: RNAcentral